RNAcentral lists this ribosomal RNA (476 nucleotides) under Premnobius sp. 3 AIC-2013. Its description in RNAcentral is "partial 16S ribosomal RNA". It matches the Rfam family "Bacterial large subunit ribosomal RNA", at positions 1797 to 2542 of the family's 2925-position model. The record is from RNAcentral. Lineage: Eukaryota; Metazoa; Arthropoda; Insecta; Coleoptera; Curculionidae.
CGCCUGUUUUAACAAAAACAUGGCUUUUUGGGAUAGUAUAUAAGGUCGGGCCUGCCCGGUGAGUUUAUUUUAACGGCCGCAGUAUUUUGACUGUGCAAAGGUAGCAUAAUAAUUAGUUUCUUAAUUGGAAGCUGGUAUGAAAGGUUUAAUGAAAAAAUUACUGUCUCGUAUUUAAGUUUUGAAUUUUAUUUUUGAGUUAAAAAGCUCAAAUUUUUUAAAAAGACGAGAAGACCCUAUAGAGUUUUAUAUUUUUAUGCGUAGUAUAUAUUAGUAUAUUUUAUUAUUUUGUAAAAAAAGUAUUUGGUUGGGGUGAUUGGAAAAUUUAUUAAACUUUUUCUAUUUUUAGAUAUUGAUAUAUAGUUUAUUUGAUCCUUUUUUUAAGAUUAAAAGUUUAAAUUACCUUAGGGAUAACAGCGUUAUUUUUUCUAAGAGUUCUUAUCGAAGAAAGAGUUUGCGACCUCGAUGUUGGGAUUAAA